Molecule: ribosomal RNA, 484 nt
Filed under: uncultured bacterium
Lineage: Bacteria
Description: partial 16S ribosomal RNA
Rfam family: Bacterial small subunit ribosomal RNA
Source: RNAcentral
AUUGAACGCUGGCGGCAGGCCUAACACAUGCAAGUCGAGCGGAUGAAGGGAGCUUGCUCCUGGAUUCAGCGGCGGACGGGUGAGUAAUGCCUAGGAAUCUGCCUGGUAGUGGGGGAUAACGUCCGGAAACGGGCGCUAAUACCGCAUACGUCCUGAGGGAGAAAGUGGGGGAUCUUCGGACCUCACGCUAUCAGAUGAGCCUAGGUCGGAUUAGCUAGUUGGUGGGGUAAAGGCCUACCAAGGCGACGAUCCGUAACUGGUCUGAGAGGAUGAUCAGUCACACUGGAACUGAGACACGGUCCAGACUCCUACGGGAGGCAGCAGUGGGGAAUAUUGGACAAUGGGCGAAAGCCUGAUCCAGCCAUGCCGCGUGUGUGAAGAAGGUCUUCGGAUUGUAAAGAACUUUAAGUUGGGAGGAAGGGCAGUAAGUUAAUACCUGGCUGUUUUGACGUUACCAACAGAAUAAGCACCGGCUAACUUCGUG